RNAcentral lists this transfer RNA (74 nucleotides) under Pythium insidiosum. Its description in RNAcentral is "tRNA-Gln". Lineage: Eukaryota; Oomycota; Peronosporomycetes; Pythiales; Pythiaceae. The record is from RNAcentral.
GUCUUAUAUGGUGUAAUGGUUCAGCACUCUGGACUUUGAAUCAGCGAUCCGCGGGUUCGAGUCCGGAUAGGACU